This 431-nucleotide ribosomal RNA is filed under the name uncultured bacterium. RNAcentral describes it as "partial 16S ribosomal RNA". It matches the Rfam family "Bacterial small subunit ribosomal RNA", at positions 29 to 506 of the family's 1533-position model. The record is from RNAcentral.
AACGAACGCUGGCGGCAUGCCUAACACAUGCAAGUCGAACGAGACCUUCGGGUCUAGUGGCGCACGGGUGCGUAACGCGUGGGAACCUGCCCUAGGUUCGGAAUAACUCCCCGAAAGGGGUGCUAAUACCGGAUAAUGUCUUCGGACCAAAGAUUUAUCGCCUUUGGAUGGGCCCGCGUUGGAUUAGCUAGUUGGUAGGGUAAAAGCCUACCAAGGCGACGAUCCAUAGCUGGUCUGAGAGGAUGAUCAGCCACACUGGGACUGAGACACGGCCCAGACUCCUACGGGAGGCAGCAGUGGGGAAUAUUGGACAAUGGGCGAAAGCCUGAUCCAGCAAUGCCGCGUGAGUGAUGAAGGCCUUAGGGUUGUAAAGCUCUUUUACCCGGGAUGAUAAUGACAGUACCGGGAGAAUAAGCUCCGGCUAACUCCGU